This is a long non-coding RNA of Austrofundulus limnaeus, 691 nucleotides long. RefSeq lists it as uncharacterized. The record is from RefSeq and is a predicted model, not a curated record. The transcript has 3 exons. Lineage: Eukaryota; Metazoa; Chordata; Actinopteri; Cyprinodontiformes; Rivulidae.
AAAAUAUAUUUAAUAUUUUAAUAAGAUGAAUGCUGGAUAAAUAAAUAUGUGAAAUUCAUCCAUAAAUGAUGGUUUGUGUUCUGUUAUUCAGGUGAAGAAUGAUGUCACUGAGUCACUGAGCAGAAGGAGAAUCUCCAACAAGAUGGAGUCUAGAAAGCAACCGGCAUCACCUUCCUUCGAAAAAGUCUCAUCUUCCACGAGCCCCUUCCUUGCUCCACCUCCGACCCCCGGCAAGGAGUUCAGUUCAGCUUUUAGUUCUGAAAGCAGCUCCCCUUUCAUCGUCAGUGGUGAUCCACUGCUGACGACAGCAAAUCUGUGCAGCAGUCCUGCUUUUGGACUUCACGCACUACAUUUAAGCCACUCUGAGUUUGGAAGGCUUAAAAGUCCCAGUUUAUUAUUUUUGCCUGCUCAGUUACAAAUGGGUCAAUUUGAAGGUAAGAAGGCCUAAUGUACAAUUGUUUUUAAAUAAUAAGAUAAACCCGGUUUGAUUGGAAAUACAUUUUAAAAAGUUAUUAAAUUACCAUGAAAAGCAUGACUAAAGGAAGGAUUCUGCUCCAAAAUGUUUCUGAUGUAUAUUGCAAAAUCAAUGAACAUGGUUUACAUUAUGUGAAUAUUGAUACUAAUUAAAAACUAUUCAAACUUUGGGUUUUCUUACAGAGGCUACGUUCACACUGCAGGCAAAUCCGACCCA